UACAGAGGUGGCAAGCGUUGUUCGGAAUUACUGGACGUAAAGGGCGCGUAGGCGGUUCGUUAAGUCCUGUGUGAAAUCCCCCGGCUCAACUGGGGAACUGCACAGGAAACUAGCGGGCUUGAGUUCGGGAGAGGGAAGCGGAAUUCCGGGUGUAGCGGUGAAAUGCGUAGAUAUCCGGAGGAACACCGGUGGCGAAGGCGGCUUCCUGGGCCGACACUGACGCUGAGGCGCGAAAGCUAGGGGAGCAAACGGG
RNAcentral lists this ribosomal RNA (253 nucleotides) under uncultured bacterium. RNAcentral's name for it is "partial 16S ribosomal RNA". It matches the Rfam family "Bacterial small subunit ribosomal RNA", at positions 524 to 776 of the family's 1533-position model. The record is from RNAcentral.